This 73-nucleotide transfer RNA is filed under the name Desulfobacca sp. RBG_16_60_12. RNAcentral describes it as "tRNA-Pro". It matches the Rfam family "tRNA". Rfam says of the family: Transfer RNA (tRNA) molecules are approximately 80 nucleotides in length. Their secondary structure includes four short double-helical elements and three loops (D, anti-codon, and T loops). Lineage: Bacteria; Pseudomonadati; Thermodesulfobacteriota; Desulfobaccia; Desulfobaccales; Desulfobaccaceae. The record is from RNAcentral.
CGAGCGAUACGGAAGCGGCCAUCCUACCUCCCUUGGAAGGAGGGAAACGCGGGUUCGAAUCCCGCUCGCUCGA